AUAAGCUCUGGUGUGCAACAGGUUGGAGAAGCGAUCAUAAAAAUAGUUGCGUGGAAUUCAACAUGAAACCCGUUUUGAUUGCAGCGUUUUUUAACAUCUUGUCCACAUCUCUUCAGGGAGAAAAUCUGGGUUCUUUAAGUCCAGCUCAUAUUUACAGUGGUGGAGUGAGCAAAGUGAAUGAAGACGAGAGCGUCAUGUUUAAGUGUAAAGCUGAUAAUAUAACAGGAAGCACAAUCCAUAUGUACCUUUUCAAAAAUGGUGAGAGAGUCAAAAUGGAGGCUUUUGAAUCUUCAUCAAUAGAUGAUACGACAUUUUACAUGACCAAUGUCACUGCAGAAGAUUCUGGAUUGUACACAUGCCUUUACUCUGAAAAGAAACUUGGUGACAGUAAGACCACUGCAACAGGACACAACUCCGUCUCACUCCAGGUUUUGGGCAAAAUAUUACCGGCGAAGAUUAAAAGAACAGAAAUGACAAUAAAAAAAGAAGAGACUUUGACACUGACCUGCACCUUUACAAAAAUUCAAAGCUGUUCUCAAGUCUACGUUUAUCUCUGUUUCAACGGGAUCGGAAACAGAAAGAAGCAGGUGAACUGUAGCGAUAUGACCACUUCCACAACGUUUCUCCUUAGUAACGUUUCAGAAAAAAGCUCUGGCAACUACAGCUGUGUGUAUUCAGUGUCUAACUACAGUCUCAGUGAGGUGAACAAUACAGGAGAAAACACCAUCUUUGUUCACAUCCAUGAAAAAGACGACGUUGAUGCUGUGAGUGUAAUAAUUAGUGUUUCGGUUGCUGCAAUAGUGGUUCUGUUGGUUCUGUUGGUUCUGUUGAGAUUCUGCUGGUACCGCGAUAUUAUUUCAUUCAGGGCGUGCCAAGAUCCUGCUUUAAGAAACCCUCCAAACAUUGAGCCUUUCUACUAUGAGAUCACGGCAGGUAUUUUCCCCUGCUUUAUCCAACCCUAUCAAUAUUUUAUUCUCAUAUCAAA
This is a long non-coding RNA of Ictalurus punctatus (channel catfish), 985 nucleotides long. The record is from Ensembl. Lineage: Eukaryota; Metazoa; Chordata; Actinopteri; Siluriformes; Ictaluridae.